UAUCUUUUGCAUAAGUGUUGCAAAAUAGUCCCUAACUUAAAAGAUGUCAGAAAUCAUGCUUAAAGUGUCCAUGCAUUGCAAAGGUUGUGCCUAGCACGAUUUCUGGCAGCGCAGAUUCCUCCUUGGAUUCCUUGUCAUCUUUUGAUUCCUCUGGUUUUUUCUCUUCUUCUUUCUUUUCUUCUUCAUUUGCUUUUUUCUC
This 199-nucleotide long non-coding RNA is filed under the name Glycine max (soybean). Its description in RNAcentral is "long non-coding RNA (GMAX_LNC002969)". Lineage: Eukaryota; Viridiplantae; Streptophyta; Magnoliopsida; Fabales; Fabaceae. The record is from RNAcentral.